AUUGGAAAAGCACUUAAAAGGCCCUUGAACCUCGCCAGGUCCGAAAGGAAGCAACGAUUGAGGAUCCCUUUUAAGGUGCUUUUCCUUUAAA
RNAcentral lists this signal recognition particle RNA (91 nucleotides) under Acidobacteriota bacterium. Its description in RNAcentral is "Acidobacteria bacterium (hot springs metagenome) signal recognition particle sRNA small type". It matches the Rfam family "Bacterial small signal recognition particle RNA". Rfam says of the family: The signal recognition particle (SRP) is a universally conserved ribonucleoprotein involved in the co-translational targeting of proteins to membranes. Archaeal SRP consists of a 7S RNA and homologues of the eukaryotic SRP19 and SRP54 proteins. Lineage: Bacteria; Pseudomonadati; Acidobacteriota. The record is from RNAcentral.